AUUGAACGCUAGCGGGAGGCCUUACACAUGCAAGUCGAACGAGUGGCGGACGGGUGAGUAAUGUCUGGGAAACUGCCUGAUGGAGGGGGAUAACUACUGGAAACGGUAGCUAAUACCGCAUACCAUCGGAGGUGCCCAGAGGGGAUUAGCUAGUAGGUGGGGGAAAGGCUCAACAAGGCAACGAUCCCUAGCUGGUCUGAGAGGAUGACCAGACAAACGGGGACUGAGACACGGCACAGACUACUACGGGAGGCAGCAGUGGGGAAUAGUGGACAAUGGGGGAAACCCUGAUUCAGCCAUGCCGCGUUUAUGAAGAAGGCCUUCGGGUUGUAAAGUACUUUCAGCGGGGAGGCGUUACCCGCAGAAGAAGCACCGGCUAACUCCGUGCCAGCAGCCGCGGUAAUUC
Molecule: ribosomal RNA, 406 nt
Filed under: uncultured bacterium
Lineage: Bacteria
Description: partial 16S ribosomal RNA
Rfam family: Bacterial small subunit ribosomal RNA
Source: RNAcentral